CCUUUCUGAUAUAUUUUUACAUCAGAUAUAGAUACAUAUUUAGUUAUUGAUCAGAUACUACGGCAUUGUUUGGUACAUCUCUACACUGGAUCUGGAUACAGAUUUAAGAACUGGAUACAGAUUUGGAUAUUGAUAGAAUAGUAAUAUCAUGUCUGAUAUUUCUUCGUCGAAUCUGGAUACAUAUUUAAAUAUUGAUCAAAUACUAAGAUCCUGUUUAAUAAUAUUUAAUUUCAUCUUCGUUGAAACAAACAUAAUUUAAUUAAAAAAAAGUAAAUCCCUUCAAUGA
This 286-nucleotide long non-coding RNA is filed under the name Ananas comosus (pineapple). Its description in RNAcentral is "long non-coding RNA (ACOM_LNC031268)". The record is from RNAcentral. Lineage: Eukaryota; Viridiplantae; Streptophyta; Magnoliopsida; Poales; Bromeliaceae.